Long non-coding RNA from Scophthalmus maximus (turbot), 2644 nucleotides. RefSeq lists it as uncharacterized. The record is from RefSeq and is a predicted model, not a curated record. NCBI's taxonomy places the organism in Eukaryota, Metazoa, Chordata, Actinopteri, Pleuronectiformes, Scophthalmidae. The transcript has 2 exons.
CCCCUUGUCUGCAGGUUUUAUAAUUAUUUUUUUGUUUUUGCCUAGUGUUCUAAUAAUCUGUUUAUGUUCCUGGCUGAUAUUGGGUGUUCUGUGAAGAAGAGGAAGUCAACCUAAUGUUGCUGGGGAUCACUGAACCAUCAAAGAACUCAUACCCUACCCUUUGGAUUGAUGGCCUGAUUGAGCGCCUGGGGAAGGUCAGAUAUCUAACCAGGAAAGAUCCCUGCAAGGGCAAUUGGCAGGUUCUCCUCACUCAAGAUCCAGACAGCUGAUCACCUUACGGACAGCCUGGGGUCUGUUCCAAUUUAGCCUUGCCCUUUGGACUUCAUGGUGACCCAGCAUCAUUUUAAAGGCUGAUGGACAAGUUCAUUUGCAAUGUGUUGGAUUUUGUUGCAGCAUAUAUUGAUUGAUUGAGGAACAUCUCAGACAUCUGGAAAUGGUCCUGGAGCAUCUCCACUCUAUCAGGCUGACUGUCAAUCUAUCAUAGUGUACCUUUGCUAAGGCUGAGAGACUACCUGGUGUUUGUAAUUGGAAAUGGGAUAACAAAGUCACAAUUGAACAAUAUCUGUAAUAUUCUCUAAAGAGCGGACUACUCUCGCUCUUCCAGUGAAACUGGACAUGUACAGUUAUCAUGUUUAUGCAAUUUUCUGAUUUAGUCGCUUGGUUUUUGUCUGUAUGAAGUGACUUAGCAGGACUUGGACAGUAAGGAUGGAACUGUAGAUUUACAGCAACAGUCUAAAAACCUUGAUAAUGAAGCUUUAUACAUAAACCCACUAAAAGAGAGGUAAGUGCAGAGACCAAACCUGCUGCAGAAGACGGAAAACGAAGAGGCCAGAGAACUAGAAGGUUUACAAAUCUAAAAGGCUUCAGCAUCACUUCUCAAUUACUAACAACAAAUGGAAAGCUGUAACUAAGGAGGCUAAGAAAGUACUUGAAGUCCAUCUAGUGUCCUACAAGACCAUCAGUUGUAAAACAAGUUUAUGACGACUUGGCAAAUCAGUUGCCCCUGAGAAACCCGUCCUUCAGUAGAUACUUGUCAUGCUGUCUCGAUACAAAUAUUGGAUUAUGCAUGGAAUUGUCUUGAGAAAAAAAAAAAAAAAAGAUUCUCAUCUCUCUAACACACUGAAACUGGCUCUGUAUGCUCAGUCGCACCAUCCCAGUCUAGUUCAAGCUCUCAAGCUUCAAGGUAUGCAAGCAGCUUAAGCUUAAGAUCAAGUUGGCCAAGCCCGUCCUCUGCAAAGAGACAAGCAGCAGCAGAGCUAGCCGCAACUGAAGCCACUUCGUGAGAAACAAAAGCUUGAAACCCUUGAAGCGGGGGAACAGACAGACUUUGCACCCUCAAAAUGAACUGCCAUAAGCACAAUCAUGUUUGUUUUAGUAACACUUUGGAACACCAUUAGAUGAAUGCUGACCAGUGUACAGUACAUAAUAGAGCUGUCCCAAACGAUUCUUUUUCAAACGAUUAAUCUAGCGAUUAUUUUUUCAAUUAAUCGACUAAUCUAACGAUUAAUUUUUGGGUCGGUGGUGCGCCGGCCCUCACUUUCAUUGCGCCACGGGGUUUCGAGUAGCAAGCCCUCUGACUCGCUCGUGCGUUAGACUCCUUGGUCCGUGUUUCAAGACGGGUCGGGUGGGUUGCCGACAUCGCCGCAGACCCCUUGCGCCUGUGAGCGUGGGCCGAUCCCCGCCCUGGCGGCGCAACGCGGUUGGAGCGCACUGAGGACAGUCCGCCCCAGCCCUAGUACAUAAUCUUACAAAUAUUUCAACUACACAUUUGGUUACUAGCACAGCAUGGCUACAGGAUAAAUAUUUAGAACAAAUUUGCCUGCCUUGUUGUAUUGUCUCCAUCUAUCGGUACAUUGGUAGUCCUCCCAAGUCAAUUAUACCAUUCAUCCAUAUUUUAUGAAUAUCCUCUCUAAAUCCUCUCUGACGUGACAUUACUGAAUUAAUUUUGCUUCCAAAUCGAUCCGGUUGAGUAGGACAGGACACGUAAUAGGAAAGGACAGCUAGAUCAGGUUCAGGAAAGGGGAGGAGUUAAGGAGAAACUGCGUUUUUUUUUCAAGAAAACCUGCUAGCGAGCAGGGAAGGUUCACAGAGUCAGUUACCAUGGUAACUGACCUACAGUUUAAGCUCACUCACUUUCUGGAACGGAAAACCCAGAGUUUCCCUCUUUUCAGGAUUACAUUUUUUUUGUAAACCUUGCUUUAUGGAAUACACCCCAGGCCCCUGCUCCUUCAAACCCUAAUGCCUGGCCAUGUUACUCCUUGUGUCUGUGGAGAUUCUCGUCCAUCGAAGUCAUAGUUGUCCACGAGGUUGUUGAACAUUUAUUACAUUACAUUUAUUGUUUGUGUUUUUUGAAGUUUUUGAACUCUGCACCAACCCAUGCACCAACUAUGGGUGUCUUCCGACCUCUGCCUUUUUGGCUAUUGAGGGUCAUUUGACUAUGUUUGUUGCUACUAAAAGCAUGUAUACAGACAAUGGAGGCAAAGAAUACCUAUCUCAGCCAAUUAACUGUAGUUUCCUGAGUUAAUGCUUCUUAUAUAUUUGUCUACAUAAGCUAAUAAAUGUGACAAUUAUCUGGCCAAGGAAUUAGGAUUUUGCAGUGCUACUACAGAAUAAAAACGUAAAAACUCUGCCACAGGAGCUGCUA